Ochotona curzoniae (black-lipped pika) is the source of this 6072-nucleotide long non-coding RNA. RefSeq lists it as uncharacterized. The transcript is spliced from 2 exons. The record is from RefSeq and is a predicted model, not a curated record. Lineage: Eukaryota; Metazoa; Chordata; Mammalia; Lagomorpha; Ochotonidae.
CUGCGAUGUGUAUAUCUAACAGGUGGAGUCGUCCUUAUCUGAAACUCUGAAAUGUAGGUAGCAAGAGUGUUCCAGACAAUUCUGAAAUGAGGAAGAAACAUAAAAAAAAGAGCCUGUACAUCCUGUUACGUUCUAAGCAUUCUUGCACACCAACAUUCUUAUCAAAUUAGAUCAAACAUAUCCCAAAGACACCCUACCUGGGAGGCAACUGCAUCCCCAUUCUACAAAUGCGGGUGCUGAGGCCCAGCUGGGAGGCGGUGAAGGCAAGGUGCGGACUGUCAGACCUCAGAGCACGCAGCGCUGGCUUCGUAUCUGCCGGCUCCCCCAGACAGACACGUGAGUCUCGUUUCCACCAGGGCUGGGCUGCAGGAUCGCGUUCACCGCUCUGCCUAACUUCCCUGGCCUUCAGUGGCCUCGUCUAGACUGGAGUGCCAUUGGGUUGUGCUAACGCAGGGAUGGGGUAACCCCCUGAGAAGCAGCCGCACCGUGCCUGGGAAAGCGCAGCUGGUGCUCCAGCUCACCUGGCCAAGGCAGCCUGUGUGGCUGUACUUCUCGGAGUUGCACAAGCAGAUGCCUGAAACCUCCACUGAGUGUCUUGUUUUUUCCCACCCCCACCUAAUUUUUAAAAGUUUGCUGUGUUGAUAUGAUGUGAUUUUUUCCCCUCUUACCAUUUCAUAAAAUUGAUUUUGGAGUCCAAAAUGCUGUCAAUGUGAGAACAUUAAUCUGCAAUCCCCAUAAGGAUGUGUAAUGUGAUUUAUAGAUGCAUUUUCUUUAGCUUAACAAUAUCAUGUUCACGUUUCGGCCUUGGCGGCCUUCAUCGCCUUGCCAAACUCUAGAGUUUUAUUGUUGCAUCAAAUAAACUGAGGUUAUAAAUCAUCUCCAGAUGUCAGCCUAAUUAUUCAGAAUGGGCGGGAACCCAUUGGAGGCUGAGAUUUGGACACAAGCUCUGAAGGCCAGAUUCUGCCCCGCCUCACCCUCACAACGGGCUGGCUCUGGGGGUCUUCCAGGGUCUUCCGUUGUUUCCUGGGCCUGGGGUUUCCUAAUGUACCCAACUUCUUCGGUGGGGGAGCCCAAGUUUCAACAGCAGACAUUGACAAGCCAGCCCGGCCACUGGCAUGGAUGUGAUGGCCCCUCUGACUCAGGGUCAUCUCUUCAACCCCAGGGGAAGGGAGUCGAAGGUCUGGGGAUGGGGUGGCAGUUGUUUUCUGGCCAUGGGGCACUACUUCAGACUUCUGUUCCUUCAGACCUUACUUGGGCAUAGAAUUUUCCAGAAAAUUCAACCAGAGAAAGAAUACUUCUUGUCCAUGGCUCCAGCCACAUUCCUCAGAUACUCUGGCUUGGCACUGGUGUCUCAUCCUUUCCUCUUCUCUUCCUCCCUCAACAUCUUGGAUGCCAUCUCUGCUGUUCCCACCUGCCUCUUCAUCGUCAGCUUGGCUCUGUGUCAGGCACAGUUAGAUGGACCAGUGUCAGGGGCCUCAUUGUGCGUGUCACACAAGCUGUCAUUUGGUCAACAUGCUAUGUAAGCGUAUUUACUUCAACGACCAAGCUGUCCUAGGCAGCUACCUCAUAGUGAUUCGCAUUUAAAAUGUGAGCUUUGGGAUGAGCAUUUGGAAUAGUGACUAAGACAAGCUUUAGGUCGCCUGCACUCCAUAUUGAAGUGCCUGGGUUCAGUAUCUGGUCUGCUUGCUCUGAUCCCAGCUUCCUCCUGGAGUGCAUUAUGGAGGGAAGCAUGGGAUGGCUCAAGCUGAGACUAGGAUUGGGCGCCAGCCUCGGCUUUGGCUGUGUCCUACAGUCCUGGCCAUUGAGGGUUUGGGGGACUAAACCAUCAAAUGACAGAGAGGCUUCAUCUGUCGUCUGUCUUUGCUUCUGUCUCUCUGACUUUCGAAGAAAUCAACAAUAAAAAUGUGAGAAAACAUACAUAUUGGCAUCGUGACUGUGUUCCUGGCUCAGCCAUCAAGACAGGAGGAGCCUGGGGCAUGGCAGUCCCAGCAUCAGUGUCAACACCCUGUCAGCCCCUUCCCCUCCCUCCUGCUCAUCAAGCCCACCAACCUCCACCCUGUGGGGCAGGUGCACGGGGAGCGACCCUGAGCCUCCUCUCCAGCCCUCAGGCUGUGGUUUGUUCUGUGAAGGGACGGCCGGUGCAGGGUGUACUUCAAACGUGACAGGCCCCGCUCAGAGCUCUGUGUGUUCAGGGCGCAGUGGAGGGAAGCGCUUCCUUGGAUGGUCUUGUGAGCGUGUGGGAGGGGACCUGUUGUCCCUCAGUUUCUUGGUGAGAUGUUUUCAGGCCCCAUUCUCCUUCUCAUUUGUUAAUGCUAGCAAAGAGAAAUGAGUAGGAGGGGAGGUGAAAAAGGGCAAGUUGUCUGAGGGGCAGCACGAAGCAACCCCGAGCCUCUAAGGCUAUGUCACUGAGGAAACGGCUCAGUGUGAGGGCAAGAUGUGAGCGUGACUACAUGGCCAGGUGCCGGGAGGGUGUGAAGGGUUAGGAUUAGGUGUGAACCGAACUCACAGAAGGGAGACCUUGACAGGAAGGAGGAGACUCGGUCAGCCCCCCACAGGUCCUCAGAAAAGGUCUCAGGCCACAGGCUGGGGAAGAGGAAGUCGAGGGGGCCUAGAGGUCAGCAACAGGCACUUGGGGUGAGUCACACACAACCAGAUUUCAGUCAGUCACACCCAGAGUUUCAGCGUCCAGCUGUUGAUGCAGGACACCCGGAGUUCAGUCGAAGACACUUGCAGUUGAUGAACACAUUCAGCUCGUCAGAGACAACAAGAGUUCAGUCAGAAACCCAAAUUUCCUUGUGAUUCAGUCAGAGACACCCAAACGCACCAAGAGUUCAGUCAGACACAGUGUUGCAUUUCCUCAGAGUUCAGACAUGCAAAGGUCAGCUAGGGAUGGGGAGAUGCAAGCAGCACACUGAGACUGCGGGACAGCUGUUCCACCUGGCAGCCAAGAUGCCAGUCAGGAUGCCCACAUCCCACAGAGCUGGGCCUGGACUGGCCUCCGACGCCAGCCGCCUGCUAACGCUGACACUGGGGAGAGGGCUGAUGGCUCAAGGAGCUGUAUCCCUGCCACCUCCAUGGCAGAUCUACGUUGAGUCCCUGGCUCCUCACGUUAGCCCAUUCUAAGGCUGGUCAUUGAGGCUGUUUCAGGGUGAACCAGAACAUAGCAGUUCUGUUUCUGUCUUCCCUAACGAAGAUAAAAAAGCACAAACACCCCAAAUUCAUUCAGAUAGACAGAAAUCAGUCCAACACACCAGGAUUCAGUCUGAACCUUCAGUAAUGGAAGACAUAAUUCACUUUGUUCUUUGGAGAAUAUAUAAGAAAUAUUUGAGGGUUUUGUCAUCCAUCUUCCAAUAGCAUACCAUCACUCCAUUUUAGUUCUGAGAUAUCUUCCUCAAGUCUCUUUCUCUAUCUGCACUCAGCGGUGAGUGUUCAGAAGGGGGUGGGAAUGAAGUUGAUCCGAGUGUCUGGACCGUCUCCGGGUGGCUCGAGGGCUUGGUGUGCUCUGUAACGUGGAUCUGGACAGCCCCAGCAGACCCUAUUGUAUAUGAAUGCACAGCUGAGACAGUGCCUAGCUCCCAUUGACAGCUCUGUGACACCUCACCGGAUGUGGGCUCACUGUUGCUCAGCUGACAGGGCCAGUAUGGUGGCCAAUGUCCAGGCUGGGGCCAGAGUCCAGGACAGAGACACUUUCUGUGGAAGGCCCCGAACUUUGCGCAGGAGAUGGAAGAUCCACCACCUUAAGGGGCUAAAGCGAGAUAUCCACCUGUACCCACAAACUUAUACCACAACAGAAGUCAAUGCAAGCACCUGUGGGUGCUGAGUGCUCUAGGGUGGGCCCUUAUGGGUUUUCUGUCAUCUUCCCAUCAUUGGGGCCCAUGCCAAGGGACAUCUGAGGCACAGGUCUGAUCUGGGACACUCCAGGCUUAGGCGUAACUUAACUUCUUCCUGUCUGUGUCUCACGCCUUCGUUCCUGGGAGCAGGAGAAGCUGACCUAGGGGACAGCAGGUGGGGCAAGCACCAAGUCUGCUUCCACAGAGCUCUGAUCCUGACUCUAGCCCCAGGGAUGUGAACUUGACACUAACUGCAUAGACGGAACUACCCUAUUUUCACAGCCGGCGCAAUGCCUGGUGAUUAUAGCGCAGUCCUCGUCAGCCAGUGUCUGGGCUCCCUUCCCAGCUUUGCCUCUAGAGUUCAGCUUCCUGACGACACAGAUCCAAGGACACAGCAGUGCUGCUCAGGCAUUUGAGUCCUAUAGCGGAGGCCUGGACUGAGUUCCCAGCUCAUAGCUUCAGCAUGGCUCAGCCCUGCUAGUGUGGGCAUUUGGGGAGUGGAUCUCAAUCUCUCUCUCUCUCUUUAUAUAUAUGUGUGUGCAUAUCCAGCCCCAGGGUAAAGGGUGAGUGGCUGAAUGAGCUAUGGACAGCCUGGCAGGCUUCUCAGGCAGCAAAGGCAGCCAGUAGGACAUCUGAAGGAACAGGACAAGCAAAGGACAAGUAGUGGCAGGGCAGGUGGCUGGUGUGGGGCAGGGCAGAGCCAGAGUAUAGAUAAAAACAAACAAAACAAAACAAAAAAACCUGAGCCAGGGAACAAACUAGGAAAUCCCUGGAAGAGCUGCGCUGCCUCUGGUUGUGUGCUGCGCUUGGCCCUGCUGACACUCAAGGCUGGGCCUUCCCUGAGUGGGACUACCUCCCACACUGCAGGGUGUGGACCAGCACACCUGGCCUGGACCCACUAGGGGCCAGUAGCAGCCCUUCUCCAGUAGAGACACCAAAAUGUGUCUCCCCAGACAUCAUCAGUCAUCCCCAGAGGGACAGUCUGGGUUAAGAAAGUUGCUCUCCAACAAAAGCUGCAUGAAUGAGGCAGUGGGGACCAGAGUGGCUUCAGCAGGCAGCAAGCUGGAAGUUAUACAAGGCCUCACUCUGCACUUUAGGCCUCAGGGCCAAGGCCCAACACAGGAUAGGUCCUCAGACAGCAGACACCAAGCCUUCCUUUCAUGCAGACUGAAGUCUGUGUGCCAAAACAUCUUGACUCAACACGGAUGAGUUCCUGUGGGGCUGCUGUCCCUCGGGCCAGCAGGCUGCGGUGGGCACCACCCGAGAGUUCGGACCAUGCAGGGUGGCUGUUUAUGUGUGUGCCCAGGGCUGCCUGCUAGGCGUAUUAGAGGCCAUGAAAUAAUGAUGAGGCCUCAGAGGGUAAUUAAAGCCACGGUGACAUUGAUCUGCUGAGAUUUCUGAGUGAGCCCAGAACACACGGGGUGACUCUCCAUCUUACCUCAUGCAGGCCUGGCCUGAUUGGCCCCCUGGGCAUUGCUGGGGCCUCUGAACCUCACCUGUGGCCGGGAGAUUCCCAGGGCAGCAGCCAAGCUGGCUUCAGAGCUGUGCAAAACAGGCAGCCUGGACCUGGGCGGGGAGGAACCCAGGUGGACCUGGGGGUGAGCCCAGCUGCUGUGCCCUGCACUGGAAAGACAGGAGCAGGCAGAUCUGUUAAAGACACAGUUCUCCCUCAACACAGUGUUGGGAGUAAACCUGUUCUCCAGGUCCCAAACACCGGGCAGGGCCAGCUGCCUGGGGGCUGGGCGUGUUUGUGAGUGUCCUCUGGGACCCAGGACCUGCCGGAAAGCUAACCAUCUGAGUACAGUACAGCUGGGAGUGACAUUGAAAAUUGGUCUACCUUCACACAGUUGAAAAUCCACUAGUUUCUUAAGACAAAGGUCAUUGCAAAAUUGUCCACUUUGUCAGGAACAGCGAUUGCUGAUGCUGAUUAGUUGCUUGCAUGUUCACUGCUGUCUUGGCUCAGUUUUAACCUUGGCAGUGUUGAGUAGGAUUCACUCAGAGAGUCAGAUUUUGUCACCCUGGCUGUCUCGUUGAUCUUGGGUAAAUGACUUGAGCCUGCUGUGCCUUAGUCUACCCGUUAGUACACGGGGGAAUAAUCAGUACCAUAGGUUGCAAAGGAGGCAGAGAAAGGGUGUGUAUGCUGGGAAGUUGUUUGCUCACUGCUUCCCUAGGUCUGGGGGCCAACCUCUCCCACCUUCAAGAUCCCUGAGUCCUGAUGAUGCUGUGGUGUCAUCUUCAGCAA